This 497-nucleotide ribosomal RNA is filed under the name uncultured bacterium. Its description in RNAcentral is "partial 16S ribosomal RNA". It matches the Rfam family "Bacterial small subunit ribosomal RNA", at positions 28 to 507 of the family's 1533-position model. The record is from RNAcentral.
GAUGAACGCUGGCGGCGUGCCUAAUACAUGCAAGUCGAGCGAACAGACGAGGAGCUUGCUCCUCUGACGUUAGCGGCGGACGGGUGAGUAACACGUGGAUAACCUACCUAUAAGACUGGGAUAACUUCGGGAAACCGGAGCUAAUACCGGAUAAUAUAUUGAACCGCAUGGUUCAAUAGAGAAAGACGGUUUUGCUGUCACUUAUAGAUGGAUCCGCGCCGCAUUAGCUAGUUGGUAAGGUAACGGCUUACCAAGGCGACGAUGCGUAGCCGACCUGAGAGGGUGAUCGACCACACUGGAACUGAGACACGGUCCUGACUCCUACGGGAGGCAGCAGUAGGGAAUCUUCCGCAAUGGGCGAAAGCCUGACGGAGCAACGCCGCGUGAGUGAUGAAAGUCUUCGGAUCGUAAAACUCUGUUAUUAGGGAAGAACAAAUGUGUAAGUAACUAUGCACGUCUUGACGGUACCUAAUCAGAAAGCCACGGCUAACUACGUG